CAUGCACCAGUGGGGUCCCUCGGCCUGGCCUGUGAAACCGGCUCUCCAACAUCCCCCAGGGGUCCUGGAUUGUGAGAGGGUGCAGGCCAGGCUGAGGGACCCCACCUGUGCAUG
Molecule: microRNA precursor, 114 nt
Filed under: Myotis davidii
Lineage: Eukaryota; Metazoa; Chordata; Mammalia; Chiroptera; Vespertilionidae
Description: mir-9193 microRNA precursor family
Rfam family: mir-9193 microRNA precursor family
Source: Rfam by way of RNAcentral